CGAAGGUGAAGCGGGGCUUCGGCCCCGUGGAAACUGGCGCACGGGUGAGGAACGCGUGGGAAUCUACCCCGGGGUGGGGAAUAACCGCUGGAAACGGCGGCUAAUACCGCAUACGCCUUGCGAGGGAAAGCUUUAGCGCCCUGGGAUGAGCCCGCGUCGGAUUAGCUUGUUGGUGAGGUAACGGCUCACCAAGGCUUCGAUCCGUAGCUGGUCUGAGAGGAUGAUCAGCCACACUGGGACUGAGACACGGCCCAGACUCCUACGGGAGGCAGCAGUGGGGAAUAUUGGACAAUGGGGGCAACCCUGAUCCAGCCAUGCCGCGUGCGUGAAGAAGGCCUUAGGGUUGUAAAGCGCUUUCGGCGGGGAAGAUGAUGACGGUACCCGCAGAAGAAGCUCCGGCUAACUCCGUGCCAGCAGCCGCGGUAAUACGGAGGGGGCUAGCGUUGUUCGGAAUUACUGGGCGUAAAGGGCGCGUAGGCGGAUCGUCAAGUCAGAGGUGAAAGCCCUGGGCUCAACCUGGGAACUGCCUUUGAAACUAAUGGUCUAGAGUCCGAGAGAGGAUGGCGGAAUUCCCAGUGUAGAGGUGAAAUUCGUAGAUAUUGGGAA
This 606-nucleotide ribosomal RNA is filed under the name uncultured bacterium. Its description in RNAcentral is "bacterial SSU rRNA". It matches the Rfam family "Bacterial small subunit ribosomal RNA", at positions 63 to 703 of the family's 1533-position model. The record is from RNAcentral.